GCCCGUGUAGUCCAAUGGCAGGAGACGUUGGUUUUAAAAAUCAAACAGUGUCGGUUCGAGUCCGACCUCGGGCACCA
RNAcentral lists this transfer RNA (77 nucleotides) under marine sediment metagenome. RNAcentral describes it as "tRNA-Leu". It matches the Rfam family "tRNA". From Rfam's summary of the family: Transfer RNA (tRNA) molecules are approximately 80 nucleotides in length. Their secondary structure includes four short double-helical elements and three loops (D, anti-codon, and T loops). Further hydrogen bonds mediate the characteristic L-shaped molecular structure. tRNAs have two regions of fundamental functional importance: the anti-codon, which is responsible for specific mRNA codon recognition, and the 3' end, to which the tRNAs corresponding amino acid is attached (by aminoacyl-tRNA synthetases). tRNAs cope with the degeneracy of the genetic code in two manners: having more than one tRNA (with a specific anti-codon) for a particular amino acid; and 'wobble' base-pairing, i.e. permitting non-standard base-pairing at the 3rd anti-codon position. The record is from RNAcentral.